AACGAACGCUGGCGGCAGGCCGAACACAUGCAAGUCGAACGAGACCUUCGGGUCUAGUGGCGCACGGGUGCGUAACGCGUGGGAACCUGCCCUUAGGUUCGGAAUAACUCCCCGAAAGGGGUGCUAAUACCGGAUAAUGACUUCGGACCAAAGAUUUAUCGCCUUUGGAUGGGCCCGCGUUGGAUUAGCUAGUUGGUAGGGUAAAAGCCUACCAAGGCGACGAUCCAUAGCUGGUCUGAGAGGAUGAUCAGCCACACUGGGACUGAGACACGGCCCAGACUCCUACGGGAGGCAGCAGUGGGGAAUAUUGGACAAUGGGCGAAAGCCUGAUCCAGCAAUGCCGCGUGAGUGAUGAAGGCCUUAGGGUUGUAAAGCUCUUUUACCCGGGAUGAUAAUGACAGUACCGGGAGAAUAAGCUCCGGCUAACUCCGUG
Molecule: ribosomal RNA, 433 nt
Filed under: uncultured bacterium
Lineage: Bacteria
Description: partial 16S ribosomal RNA
Rfam family: Bacterial small subunit ribosomal RNA
Source: RNAcentral